Molecule: ribosomal RNA, 249 nt
Filed under: uncultured bacterium
Lineage: Bacteria
Description: partial 16S ribosomal RNA
Rfam family: Bacterial small subunit ribosomal RNA
Source: RNAcentral
UGAGUAACGCGUAAGGAACCUGCCUUUUAGAGGGGAAUAACAAUGAGAAAUCAUUGCUAAUACCGCAUAUGCCAUAGUUAUCACAUGAUAAUAGUGGGAAAGGAGCAAUUCGCUAAAAGAUGGCCUUGCGUCUGAUUAGAUAGUUGGUAAGGUAACGGCUUACCAAGUCGACGAUCAGUAGCCGGACUGAGAGGUUGAACGGCCACAUUGGGACUGAGAUACGGCCCAGACUCCUACGGGAGGCAGCAG